GAAGGGUGCAAGCGUUGUUCGGAUUUAUUGGGCGUAAAGCGCGCGCAGGCGGACGGCUAAGUCAGAUGUGAAAUCUCGGGGCUCAACCCCGAAACUGCGUCUGAAACUGGUUGUCUAGAAUAUUGGAGAGGGAAGGGGAAUAUCGCAUGUAGGGGUAAAAUCCGUAGAGAUGCGAUGGAACACCAGAGGCGAAGGCGCCUUCCUGGCCAAUUAUUGACGCUGAGGCGCGAAAGCGUGGGUAGCAAACAGGGAUUAGAUACCCUGGUAGUCCACGCCGUAAACGAUGUGCACUAGAUAUGGGAGGUAUUGACUCCUUCCGUGUCGUAGCUAACGCGUUAAGUGCACCGCCUGGGAGUACGGUCGCAAGACUA
RNAcentral lists this ribosomal RNA (371 nucleotides) under uncultured organism. RNAcentral describes it as "partial 16S ribosomal RNA". It matches the Rfam family "Bacterial small subunit ribosomal RNA", at positions 527 to 896 of the family's 1533-position model. The record is from RNAcentral.